GUCACACCAUCUGUUGAAAUUUUGCUUGGGUUAGGAAACUAAUUGCAGAAUUUGAGUUCUCUGGCUAUCAUUCUGAAUUAGGGUUAUUUUUCUACAUAGACCUUAAUACUUUAAUAGCCCAAAAGGUGAUAACCCCUUAUCACACAGAUAUAACUCAAACAUGCUCCCUUUCCAAUCUAAUUACUGUAUUGACUAGCUUCCAAGCAAUCUUGGGUGCUCAUCCAAAAUAAGCACACAUCCAUAAGUCUUGACUGACACUUCAUAAACAAAUAGUUUCCUGCUACUACUACAACUAGCUAUUGCAAUAACCUACGAAAACACGGAACCAAAUAAAUAACCAAAUUGUUUACAUUACUCCCAUCAAUAUCAACUUAUAUAUCCUCUUUUCUGGCAAAAUAAACCCAUACAAAUUAUAUGUGCUGCAUCCACGAGGAAACUUCAUUACCAUACAUCAUGAAUCCUCAAAACCCAAGUGGUGAAAUCCCCUAAUGAUACGUAGUCAAGUUCAGGCCAAGACGUAUGUUGCGAGCACACCAAUAGAAUCU
This 545-nucleotide unclassified non-coding RNA is filed under the name Hevea brasiliensis (rubber tree). Lineage: Eukaryota; Viridiplantae; Streptophyta; Magnoliopsida; Malpighiales; Euphorbiaceae. The record is from RNAcentral.